Molecule: non-coding RNA, 604 nt
Organism: Lonchura striata (white-rumped munia)
Lineage: Eukaryota; Metazoa; Chordata; Aves; Passeriformes; Estrildidae
Source: RefSeq, a predicted model, not a curated record
GCCCCGGCUUCUGCCAGAGAGAUUCUCCUGAAGCAGCUGCUGUAGGAGCUCAGUGCCUUUCCCGCCUGUGAAAAAUGCGUAUUUUAUGAUUGGCUUUUCACAGAUGUUACAAUGAAUGUUAUAUGUGUAAUGUUAGACAGCAAUGAGAUACUUGCUUCGAAGAACACCUAAAUCUUCCAAAGAAAAGGAAUUUAUGGUUUUCUUAUCAGAAGAAGCUAAUUUCUUCAGGCCUUGCUUGAACACAUGUUGCUGCUGUUACCAAAGAAAUUGUUCCAGCCCAGUUUGCUGUGCAGCAGGAUGGAAUCUUGCACUGGCAUAAGGGAGAAAAUACAUGAGUGGGACACUAUUCCUAGAGAAUCUUAAAUUUAUGCACUAUAAAGUAAUUAUAUUAAAAAGGAAGAAGAUAGAUUUUCUUGUGUUAAGACUCCUGAACUUGAUAUUUUAAUUGCAUCUUUGUAAAGCAGCCUCUGAAUAAUCACAGUGACUUUCCUCCAAAAAUGAAAAUGACAUGCUGUUUUGAAAAAUGCAUUUAAAAAAAUACAGUUUAGGAAUACAGUUUAGUAAAAGAGCAUGUCAUGCAUGUAUUAAAUAUAUGUUACUAUGG